CCACCGAGCCCCUCUUGCUGCAGGGAGACUGUUUGAAACUGUGCUGCCAAUCUAGUUUACAGACAGCUCUCUGAAGUAAU
This is a microRNA precursor of Electrophorus electricus (electric eel), 80 nucleotides long. Lineage: Eukaryota; Metazoa; Chordata; Actinopteri; Gymnotiformes; Gymnotidae. The record is from Ensembl.